Molecule: ribosomal RNA, 175 nt
Filed under: Grigorovia transvaalensis
Lineage: Eukaryota; Fungi; Ascomycota; Saccharomycetes; Saccharomycetales; Saccharomycetaceae
Description: partial small subunit ribosomal RNA
Source: RNAcentral
AUAUAGAUUAUAUAAUAUACAUAUUAAUAUAUUAAUAUAUAUAUUAAUUAGUUAAUUAUAUUAUUAAUAAAAAAUAUAUUAUUGAUAUAUAUAUAUAUUAUAUAAUAAUAAUAAUAUCAUAUUAAUAUUAACAUAAUUUAUAAGUAAUAAAUAAUGAAUGUAAAAUAAAAUAUUA